Suricata suricatta (meerkat) is the source of this 457-nucleotide long non-coding RNA. RefSeq lists it as uncharacterized. NCBI's taxonomy places the organism in Eukaryota, Metazoa, Chordata, Mammalia, Carnivora, Herpestidae. The record is from RefSeq and is a predicted model, not a curated record. The transcript is spliced from 2 exons.
GUUCUUGAUACAUAGAGCAUGAAAAAUACAUACAUACAAGCGUAUGAUGACUGCAUAGAAACAAACCUGGAAAGCUGAGAGUCUCCAACUGUACACCUUCAGAUUCUCCGUGGGAUUUAAUGCGAAAGCAUACAACGUCAUCUACCCUGCUGCCAAUGACUGAGCAUGCCAAGGAUACUAAAGAUGAACUAUUUCUGCCCAAUAUUCCACUCCCAUAAUGAGAAAUUAUUCUUAUUAUAGGAUCUCAUUAUAUAUCUCAGGAUCUCCUGUCAAUUUUCUCAGAGUAAUUCUCUAACAUGAGCCCUUCCUAGCUCAUCCUCCUUCUUUCUCUCUUUCUUUCCCCCACAGAUGUUAGACCUGUAUCAUAUUGUGAAGGUUCUUUCUACUACUUUUGAGCCUUCCCUCUUUAACCUCAACAGGAUUUUACCACAAUAAAUCUUACUUGUGUCUAAUUAUA